GUUUGAUCCUGCCAGUAAUCAUAUGCUUGUCUCAAAGAUUAAGCCAUGCAUGUCUAAGUACAUGCCGAAAUAAGGCGAAACCGCGAAUGGCUCAUUAAAUCAGUUAUGGUUCCUUAGAUCGUUUCUUCCUACUUGGAUAACUGUGGCAAUUCUAGAGCUAAUACAUGCAGUGAGCCUGGAGCCCUUUGGGUAACGGGUGCUUUUAUUAGACCAAGAUCGAUCGGGUUUCGGCCCGUAUUGUGUGGUGACUCUGGAUAACUUUGUGCUGAUCGCAUGGCCACGAGCCGGCGACGUUUCUUUCAAGUGUCUGCCUUAUCAACUUUCGAUGGUAGGUUACUUGCUUACCAUGGUUGUUACGGGUAACGGAGAAUCAGGGUUCGAUUCCGGAGAGGGAGCCUGAGAAACGGCUACCACAUCCAAGGAAGGCAGCAGGCGCGCAAAUUACCCACUCCCGGCACGGGGAGGUAGUGACGAAAAAUAACAAUACGGGACUCUUUUGAGGCCCCGUAAUUGAAAUGAGUACACUCUAAAUCCUUUAACGAGGAUCAAUUGGAGGGCAAGUCUGGUGCCAGCAGCCGCG
This 580-nucleotide ribosomal RNA is filed under the name Rhipicephalus sp. MA-2017. RNAcentral's name for it is "SSU rRNA". It matches the Rfam family "Eukaryotic small subunit ribosomal RNA", at positions 6 to 578 of the family's 1831-position model. The record is from RNAcentral. Lineage: Eukaryota; Metazoa; Arthropoda; Arachnida; Ixodida; Ixodidae.